CAAGUACUAGUCUCAGCAGAUUGAAGAGAGCACCACAGUGGUCACCAUGCAGUCUGCCGAGGUUGGAGCUGC
RNAcentral lists this microRNA precursor (72 nucleotides) under Homo sapiens (human). RNAcentral describes it as "mir-622 microRNA precursor family". It matches the Rfam family "mir-622 microRNA precursor family". Lineage: Eukaryota; Metazoa; Chordata; Mammalia; Primates; Hominidae. The record is from Rfam by way of RNAcentral.